Long non-coding RNA from Saccostrea cuccullata (small rock oyster), 353 nucleotides. RefSeq lists it as uncharacterized. Lineage: Eukaryota; Metazoa; Mollusca; Bivalvia; Ostreida; Ostreidae. The record is from RefSeq and is a predicted model, not a curated record. The transcript has 3 exons.
AAAAACAACUUAAGAUUCAUAUUAUUUUCAUUAUAUUUUGCAGAUCGAGUUUAUAUUCCGAUAAUAACAUUAGCAAGUCUCUAAUUAGUUUGAGAAUUCCAUUGGUUUAUGUGUCUUCAUUAGGGUGCUUUGUUUUGCACGGGAAAGUCCAAGGCCAUACAAAAGAAGAUUUUGGAAUAUCCUAUACGAAAGAGUUGCCUUCAAUGAUUUCAAUGAAAAAAUUACUGCAUCCAAAAAUGGUCCUCCUCAGCGUGUCCAAUCUCGGUUUUCCUCUCGUGGUGCUAAUUUCUUUAAUGAAUUUCUUAAGAAGAAACCUUUUGAAGUAUUAUGUAGGCACGUCUUCAUCUUGUUAA